GGGUAGGCGCCGGCAGAACGGAUAUCAUUGAUGUUGGUAAGUAUGAGACAAAAGUCUUCCUACCUU
This 66-nucleotide transfer RNA is filed under the name Chromodoris magnifica. Its description in RNAcentral is "tRNA-Ile". Lineage: Eukaryota; Metazoa; Mollusca; Gastropoda; Nudibranchia; Chromodorididae. The record is from RNAcentral.